UACGUAGGGGGCGAGCGUUGUCCGGAUUUAUUGGGCGUAAAGAGCUCGUAGGCGGCUUGGCAAGUCGGGUGUGAAACCUCCAGGCUCAACCUGGAGACGCCACUCGAUACUGCUAUGGCUAGAGUCCGGUAGGGGACCACGGAAUUCCUGGUGUAGCGGUGAAAUGCGUAGAUAUCGAGAGGAACACCUGCGGCGAAGGCGGGUUGCUGGGCUGAUACUGACGCUGAGGCGCGAAAGCCAGGGGAGCGAACGGG
This 254-nucleotide ribosomal RNA is filed under the name uncultured bacterium. RNAcentral describes it as "partial 16S ribosomal RNA". It matches the Rfam family "Bacterial small subunit ribosomal RNA", at positions 524 to 776 of the family's 1533-position model. The record is from RNAcentral.